Molecule: long non-coding RNA, 237 nt
Organism: Pseudophryne corroboree (corroboree frog)
Lineage: Eukaryota; Metazoa; Chordata; Amphibia; Anura; Myobatrachidae
Exons: 3
Source: RefSeq, a predicted model, not a curated record
AGACGGCAGCUGCAGAGGAAGCACUGAGCCUGCGGAGCCAGAACCCUGCCCCAGCACUCCAGCAUCACAGCACAAAGGCUCCAGUGGAAGAAACCGUGAGAGGUCCUGAAUCUGCAAGCUUUCAUCUGGGAAAAAUAGUUCAACAUGGUCUUGCCAAGAUGCAGUUACUUGCCCUUUUUUGCUUUACUCCAACCUCAGAAUCAGGAUAUUUGAGUCAAAUAUUUUCCAUGCUGUCAG